RNAcentral lists this ribosomal RNA (484 nucleotides) under uncultured bacterium. Its description in RNAcentral is "partial 16S ribosomal RNA". It matches the Rfam family "Bacterial small subunit ribosomal RNA", at positions 28 to 523 of the family's 1533-position model. The record is from RNAcentral.
GACGAACGCUGGCGGCGUGCUUAACACAUGCAAGUCGAACGAUGAAGCCGGAGCUUGCUCUGGUGAAUUAGUGGCGAACGGGUGAGUAACACGUGAGUAACCUGCCCUUGACUCUGGGAUAACUGCGGGAAACUGUAGCUAAUACCGGAUACGACCCUCGGAGGCAUCUCCUGGGGGUGGUAAGAAUUUCGGUCAAGGAUGGACUCGCGGCCUAUCAGCUAGUUGGUGAGGUAACGGCCCACCAAGGCGACGACGGGUAGCCGGCCUGAGAGGGUGACCGGCCACACUGGGACUGAGACACGGCCCAGACUCCUACGGGAGGCAGCAGUGGGGAAUAUUGCACAAUGGGCGCAAGCCUGAUGCAGCAACGCCGCGUGAGGGAUGACGGCCUUCGGGUUGUAAACCUCUUUUAGUAGGGAAGAAGCGAAAGUGACGGUACCUGCAGAAAAAGCACCGGCUAACUACGUGCCAGCAGCCGCAGUAA